Molecule: long non-coding RNA, 475 nt
Filed under: Pogona vitticeps (central bearded dragon)
Lineage: Eukaryota; Metazoa; Chordata; Lepidosauria; Squamata; Agamidae
Description: lncRNA (ENSPVIG00000002058.1)
Source: RNAcentral
UUUUUUUAAGCACUCACAUCUGAGUUUUACUAACUUCAAGACAGAACAGAUUCCCUAAAGGAGUACUGAGAAAGUCAGAUUAUAGAAAGAAUGGCUGAAAAAGAGGAGUGGGGAAUGUACUAAAGAGUGGACUGAUUUUAUGCACCAAGCAUCUGGAAUCCAUAUGGAACUUUUACUUACUCGAUUUACUGAAGGUAUCUUCAGAUAAGAAAAGACAAAAACAAAGAGAAUGGACUGCAGGACCAGGAAGAGUCGUUUAGCAACCCUGGGAAAAGCAUAAGAGACUCGUAUUCUUUGCCCAUAGGGACUUGAGAAUCUAUCAUCCUGCGCCACCUGGUUUUUUAAGCAGUAUUCUUGGCCUUUGUUUUAGUUGGAGUAGAGUGAGGGGAGUCAUCUACAGGUUUUGAGUUACUUCCAUCCCCUUCCUGAAGUUUAAGGGUUCUUGUUUUUUUAUAAUGGAAUGAAGCUGAAACAA